This is a non-coding RNA of Arachis ipaensis, 700 nucleotides long. Lineage: Eukaryota; Viridiplantae; Streptophyta; Magnoliopsida; Fabales; Fabaceae. The record is from RefSeq and is a predicted model, not a curated record.
CUCUGAGAAACCCUAAACCCAGCCACCAUCACUAUCCACCGUCGCGCUCUUCUCAUCGUUCUUCUCCUUGUCGCGUCAGUUGGUCGUCUUCUCUUCGGAUCGUUACUCUUCUUGUCGCCGUCGGCCGGUCGUCGUCUCUUCGGCGAUCUCUCUCUGUCGCUCUCUUCAAGGUCAACAACACAUAUUAUCGUCACCUCCCCUCGACGUCGAGUCUGAACUGUUGGCAUCGCCGCCGCGAAGGACUGCUCCGUCGUCGUCGCCGCCUCAUUCUCGUCAUCGAAACGCCUCUGUCUCCGAGCCAUCUCUCUCUCUCUCUCUGUGUUGAGCACCACUCUCAGUGCGUAGUGCAAACGUACCCUUGCCGCCGUGGACUUUGCCGUCGCCAUGGCCGAUCCGUCACUCACUAAAAAAUCCAAGAUCUCAUUGCCGUCACUUUCUUUCUUCGUCGCUGCCGGCUGAAAUUCAAGGAGCAUAUGCAGUAUUGGAGUAGAUAAGCAAGCUUGCCAAGGUUUAGAAAAAGGUCUCUGAAGUUAAGGGUGUCAUGAUCUAGAAUAUUGAAAAGGCUGUAGAAACGUGAGAAUUUUGUUUCAAUUAGAUAUGCAGUUUUAUUUUUCCCAUAGUAUCUAUUGAUUUGCCAGAUUUGGUUUUGAAACUUUAAUCAAAAUAAAACAGGAAACUUUAGUUUUGCAUGUAGCUUAGC